This 560-nucleotide ribosomal RNA is filed under the name uncultured bacterium. Its description in RNAcentral is "partial 16S ribosomal RNA". It matches the Rfam family "Bacterial small subunit ribosomal RNA", at positions 355 to 1375 of the family's 1533-position model. The record is from RNAcentral.
UGGGGAAUAUUGGACAAUGGGCGCAAGCCUGAUCCAGCCAUGCCGCGUGAGUGAUGAAGGCCCUAGGGUUGUAAAGCUCUUUCACCGGUGAAGAUAAUGACGGUAACCGGAGAAGAAGCCCCGGCUAACUUCGUGCCAGCAGCCGCGGUAAUACGAAGGGGGCUAGCGUUGUUCGGAUUUACUGGGCGUAAAGCGCACGUAGGCGGACUUUUAAGUCAGGGGUGAAAUCCCGGGGCUCAACCCCGGAACUGCCUUUGAUACUGGAAGUCUUGAGUAUGGUAGAGGUGAGUGGAAUUCCGAGUGUAGAGGUGAAAUUCGUAGAUAUUCGGAGGAACACCAGUGGCGAAGGCGGCUCACUGGACCAUUACUGACGCUGAGGUGCGAAAGCGUGGGGAGCAAGCAGGAUUAGAUACCCUGGUAGUCCACGCCGUAAACGAUGAAUGUUAGCCGUUGGGGAGUUUACUCUUCGGUGGCGCAGCUAACGCAUUAAACAUUCCGCCUGGGGAGUACGGUCGCAAGAUUAAAACUUAAUGAAUUGACGGGGAUCAUAGCUGUUUCCU